CCCGGAGCGUAUGCGAUGCUACCUGCACGUCGCCGGUAGCCUCGACCCGGUGCGCCCGCGCUGCCGCCAGCACAUCACCGGUGGCCUGGACCCCGGCGCGCCCGGGCUGCCGCCUCCACGUUGCCGGUCGCCUCGACCCCGGCGCUAACCGCCCUGCCGCCUGCACAUCGCUGGUUAGCGUCGACCCCGGUGCACCCGCGCUGCUGCCUGCACAUCACCGGUCGCCAACGCAACUCCGCUGCUGCUUUGGUAUCACAAUGAGUCAGCACAGGUAUGGAAACUUGACAACAUUAGCUCGGGAAAGAUGCCACUCACAGUUGAAUAAGUCUGGACUGGUACACCAAGGUAUUGCUAGGCGGACCAUGCCAGAGAAAUCAAGUCAAAUAGCAGAUUUCAGCAGGAAAAGGGUUUCUCACAGGCCUGAUUUGCAAGAUGAGGAACUAUGGAAAAAGUACAAGUUAGCUGCAAAAGAUGGAAAUGAUGCGACAACUAGUACACCAAUCUUGUUUACUGCAAAUUGGGAUGCGGAUGACUCCGGAACUAGGAAUGAUGAAGUUGAUGCCAACAACGAUGGUGACAUGGGAAUGGUCCAAUAUUACUGACGCAGCUCGGAAACAUAUAUUUGAUGCAAUUAAGGACAAGUUUGAAAAUAUUGACAAGAACAUUGCAAUAGAUGUGUACAAAGAUGAGAUAUUAGACCAUGUCAAGAAACUUUGAAUCAACUGGCGUGGAGACUUGCACCGGCACUUUGUGAAACCCAACAAGACUAUGCAGGAGGCUAUGAAAAGGGUACCUAAAGAUAUUCCAAAGGAUGACUGGGAAUGGCUUGUCAAGGAGCAUUUCUUCAGCAAGGAUUUUUUUGGUAAAGUUCUCAUGUUGCCUGUUAAUUUUGAACCAUUUGUGUAGUUGACAAUAUGGUGCAAGAAGUAUCAGAAAUUAAGCGUAUCCUGUCUGGUAGAUCUCUAACUGAUAGUUCUCAUGAGGACUGAUGAUCCACCAGAAUAUAUAUAAGCAUAAGGAGGCAUUUUAAUCGCUGGUGAAGAAUGAUAUCCAUUCAAACAAGGAUGGUGUCCCUCUAUUGAAUACUAAUAAAUAAUUUCUUUUUUAGUUGUCUCGUUUUCCACAUAGAUAUGAUCAAGUACAUUCGUGAUAUAAGGAGUGCUUUUCACUCAAAUUUCUUACAAGAUAUUUUAAUUUCAGAAUUGUAUGUCAGAAUAUUAGUAUUUGUAUUAAUAAAAGAGGCUAUGAUCCUUU
RNAcentral lists this ribosomal RNA (1254 nucleotides) under Triticum aestivum (bread wheat). RNAcentral's name for it is "partial small subunit ribosomal RNA". The record is from RNAcentral. Lineage: Eukaryota; Viridiplantae; Streptophyta; Magnoliopsida; Poales; Poaceae.